Molecule: long non-coding RNA, 139 nt
Organism: Mya arenaria
Lineage: Eukaryota; Metazoa; Mollusca; Bivalvia; Myida; Myidae
Exons: 2
Source: RefSeq, a predicted model, not a curated record
ACAUUCUAUUCAAGCGGACCCACUGUUGUCAUUCAGUUUAUAUCAGACGAGUCAGUGAAUGGACCUGGCUUCAACGUUUCCUGGAAAGUUGAGAAAGAAGAACCUACAACAAUCCUUCCGGCAACUACAAUAAAAGGUA